GAUGAACGCUGGCGGCGUGCCUAAUACAUGCAAGUCGAGCGCGAGAGUGAGGAGCUUGCUCCUCAUAAUCGAGCGGCGGACGGGUGAGUAACACGUAGGCAACCUACCCUUGAGAUUAGGAUAACUACCGUAAACGGUAGCUAAUACCGGAUACGACUUUUCCACACAAGUGGAAUGGUUAAAAGGCGGAUUUAUCUGCCGCUCAUGGAUGGGCCUGCGGUGCAUUAGCUAGUUGGUGAGGUAGUGGCUCACCAAGGCGACGAUGCAUAGCCGACCUGAGAGGGUGAUCGGCCACACUGGGACUGAGACACGGCCCAGACUCCUACGGGAGGCAGCAUUAGGGAAUCUUCCGCAAUGGACGCAAGUCUGACGGAGCAACGCCGCGUGAGUGAUGAAGGGUUUCGGCUCGUAAAACUCUGUUGUUAAGGAAGAACACUUGAGGUAGUAACUGGCCUUGAGAUGACGGUACUUAACCAGAAAGCCACGGCUAACUACGUGCCAGCCGCCGCCGUAA
Molecule: ribosomal RNA, 514 nt
Filed under: uncultured bacterium
Lineage: Bacteria
Description: partial 16S ribosomal RNA
Rfam family: Bacterial small subunit ribosomal RNA
Source: RNAcentral